UCUUGUAUAAUUGUAAAAUCCUUCUCAAGUGACCAUUCACAAUCAUCUAAAAGGCCUUUAAAUAAGGGUAUGUGAUUGUGUUGUUAUACAAAAUAUAAUUUGCAUAUGUCCAUUUUCUAGUUUCUACAAUGUUGGUUUUAAUUUAUCAAAAACUAUUCUCAAACCUUUUUCUUCUUCUCUCUGUCUCCCAUGUUUUUAUUUAAAUUAGGGUUCAUGUCAAAGUCAUAUGCAGUAGCAGCCCACAAAAUACUCAAGAAGGUUAGUAUCUGAUAUAUUUGCUGAAAGCUCCAAGUCUUAUAAAUGUGACAAUAGUUGGCAUGUAUAGAGGAGAAAUUCUUAGGGUCUCGUUCACACACACAAGCACAACAUCCUACUCAAGACAAUAACCUCUUGUGUAGUAGACCAAAAAAAAAAACAAGGAACCCAGAAAACCUACCAAACUAGACUGAUCAGACUGAUUUGGUUCGAUUUUCAUUUUAAAAACUGAAUUUUUUGAAACAAACGUGAAGUUUUAAUUUUAGUGAACAUAACCAAACCAACCGGGUAAGAGUGAUUCAGCCGGCAAUUAAGAGGACAACAAAAACCAAACUGAACCAUGCCCAAUCCUACUCUUUUGUAUAUUGUCCUCGUGCUCUCAUACAAUGAAAGAUGUGGGCCUCAUGGCCCUCAUUUUCCUAUUUGUGACAAAAUUAUAUUUUGCCUACUAUCAAAAUAUAAUGUGGCACUCCAUACUCGUAGUUGAAAGCAAAAGUCCAAGGGCCACGAUAUUCGUGAUUGUGAUGCAAAUUGACAAAACCAGAUUACCAUACGGCAUGACAGUGACUUUGAAAUGAUGCAGGAGCAAGGAAAUGUUGACGUGAGAAGUGAUGGAGGAGCAGCAGAUUAUAAAUCACACGUUGGCAAUCAAGAGAAUGAUUAUGACUGUAGCUAUGAUGGUGAUGAUGAGGAUGAUUACAACUGAGGUUUCAUCCAUCUGUGUGACUGAUAACCAUGUCCAUCUACCAAAUCAAGAGUAUGAGGAGGAUAUCCCACCCUGUCACGUCGUAUACAAGAUUUUACCGAGUUUCCGAGUCUGUUUUGUAAUCCAUUUGCUUUUAUUUGUAAACGACAAACUCAAUAAGACGUUUAGGUAUGGAGAAUGUCUCAUCACUGAAGUGGGUCUAACAAAAUGCAUCACUAUUGCUGUAUAUUGCUUAAUGCACAAUUCUUAUUUGUGCUCUUUG
This 1223-nucleotide long non-coding RNA is filed under the name Malus domestica (apple). RNAcentral describes it as "long non-coding RNA (MDOM_LNC005402)". Lineage: Eukaryota; Viridiplantae; Streptophyta; Magnoliopsida; Rosales; Rosaceae. The record is from RNAcentral.